GCCAGUGAUGGCAUGCGAAUCUCGAAAGCCUAUCUCAGUUCGGAUUGGAGGCUGAAACCCGCCUCCAUGAAGUUGGAUUCGCUAGUAAUCGCGCAUCAGCCAUGGCGCGGUGAAUACGUUCCCGGGCCUUGUACACACCGCCCGUCAAGCCAUGGAAGCCGGGGGUGCCUGAAGUGUGCAGCCGCAAGGAGCGCCCUAAGGUAAAACCGGUGACUGGGGCUAAGUCGUAACAAGGUACC
This 239-nucleotide ribosomal RNA is filed under the name uncultured bacterium. RNAcentral's name for it is "partial 16S ribosomal RNA". It matches the Rfam family "Bacterial small subunit ribosomal RNA", at positions 1253 to 1500 of the family's 1533-position model. The record is from RNAcentral.